RNAcentral lists this long non-coding RNA (210 nucleotides) under Lathyrus oleraceus (garden pea). Its description in RNAcentral is "Pisum sativum (pea) long non-coding RNA (PSAT_LNC012041)". The record is from RNAcentral. Lineage: Eukaryota; Viridiplantae; Streptophyta; Magnoliopsida; Fabales; Fabaceae.
CCGGAAGCAUUAACAGCAUAGGUGAACCAAACAGAAAAUAGGAAACCACUGGUUACCUACUAAGUCGAAGACGGAAGGAGUCACAACCGUUGGUGAGCUGCUCAAAAACCACGUUGCCGUGAGUUGACUUGUUCACCGAGUCGUGUAGCUCCGGCCUUCAAGCGUAAUCCGGCACAAAGAGUAUAGCGUGGGGAUUCAACUGGCAGAUGG